UACGUAGGUGGCAAGCGUUGUCCGGAAUUAUUGGGCGUAAAGCGCGCGCAGGUGGUUUAAUAAGUCUGAUGUGAAAGCCCACGGCUCAACCGUGGAGGGUCAUUGGAAACUGUUAAACUUGAGUGCAGGAGAGAAAAGUGGAAUUCCUAGUGUAGCGGUGAAAUGCGUAGAGAUUAGGAGGAAUACCAGUGGCGAAGGCGACUUGCUGGAAUCUAACUGACGCUGAGGUACGAAAGCGUGGGGAGCAAACAGG
This 253-nucleotide ribosomal RNA is filed under the name uncultured bacterium. RNAcentral describes it as "partial 16S ribosomal RNA". It matches the Rfam family "Bacterial small subunit ribosomal RNA", at positions 524 to 776 of the family's 1533-position model. The record is from RNAcentral.